RNAcentral lists this ribosomal RNA (254 nucleotides) under uncultured bacterium. Its description in RNAcentral is "partial 16S ribosomal RNA". It matches the Rfam family "Bacterial small subunit ribosomal RNA", at positions 524 to 776 of the family's 1533-position model. The record is from RNAcentral.
UACGUAGGGCGCAAGCGUUGUCCGGAUUUAUUGGGCGUAAAGAGCUCGUAGGCGGUUUGGUAAGUUGGAUGUGAAAUCUCCAGGCUCAACUUGGAGGGGUCAUUCGAUACUGCCAUGACUAGAGUUCGGUAGGGGAGUGUGGAAUUCCUGGUGGAGCGGUGAAAUGCGCAGAUAUCUGGAGGAACACCGGUGGCGAAGGCGGCAUCCUGGACCGACACUGACGCUGAGGAGCGAAAGCCAGGGGAGCAAACGGG